RNAcentral lists this microRNA (21 nucleotides) under Euprymna scolopes. RNAcentral's name for it is "Esc-Mir-210-P16_3p (mature (guide))". RNAcentral also lists the same sequence under 3 other names. The record is from RNAcentral. Lineage: Eukaryota; Metazoa; Mollusca; Cephalopoda; Sepiida; Sepiolidae.
UUGUGCGUGAGACAGCGACCG